GACGAACGCUGGCGGCGUGCUUAACACAUGCAAGUCGAACGGAAAGGCCCUGCUUUUGUGGGGUGCUCGAGUGGCGAACGGGUGAGUAACACGUGAGUAACCUGCCCUUGACUUUGGGAUAACUUCAGGAAACUGGGGCUAAUACCGGAUAGGAGCUCCUGCUGCAUGGUGGGGGUUGGAAAGUUUCGGCGGUUGGGGAUGGACUCGCGGCUUAUCAGCUUGUUGGUGGGGUAGUGGCUUACCAAGGCUUUGACGGGUAGCCGGCCUGAGAGGGUGACCGGCACAAUGGGGACGGGGAUCGGGCCCGGACUCCUCCGGAGGCAGCAGUGGGGAAUAUUGCACAAUGGGCGGAAGCCUGAUGCAGCAACGCCGCGUGCGGGAUGACGGCCUUCGGGUUGUAAACCGCUUUCGCCUGUGACGAAGCGUGAGUGACGGUAAUGGGUAAAGAAGCACCGGCUAACUACGUG
Molecule: ribosomal RNA, 467 nt
Filed under: uncultured bacterium
Lineage: Bacteria
Description: partial 16S ribosomal RNA
Rfam family: Bacterial small subunit ribosomal RNA
Source: RNAcentral